UACGUAGGGUGCAAGCGUUAAUCGGAAUUACUGGGCGUAAAGCGUGCGCAGGCGGUUUUGUAAGUUUGUCGUGAAAGCCCCGGGCUCAACCUGGGAAUUGCGAUGAAGACUGCAAGGCUUGAAUCUGGCAGAGGGGGGUAGAAUUCCACGUGUAGCAGUGAAAUGCGUAGAGAUGUGGAGGAAUACCGAUGGCGAAGGCAGCCCCCUGGGAUAACACUGACGCCUCAUGCACGAAAGCGUGGGGAGCAAACAGG
This 254-nucleotide ribosomal RNA is filed under the name uncultured bacterium. RNAcentral describes it as "partial 16S ribosomal RNA". It matches the Rfam family "Bacterial small subunit ribosomal RNA", at positions 524 to 776 of the family's 1533-position model. The record is from RNAcentral.